This 333-nucleotide RNase P RNA is filed under the name Variovorax dokdonensis. RNAcentral describes it as "RNase P RNA component class A". It matches the Rfam family "Bacterial RNase P class A". From Rfam's summary of the family: Ribonuclease P (RNase P) is a ubiquitous endoribonuclease, found in archaea, bacteria and eukarya as well as chloroplasts and mitochondria. Its best characterised activity is the generation of mature 5'-ends of tRNAs by cleaving the 5'-leader elements of precursor-tRNAs. The record is from RNAcentral. Lineage: Bacteria; Pseudomonadati; Pseudomonadota; Betaproteobacteria; Burkholderiales; Comamonadaceae.
GAAGCGCGCCGGACCGCCGCUGGUGCAAGUGCCGAAAGGCCGCACUGGAGGAACGUCCGGACUGCAUAGGACAGCGCAGGAGCUAACGGCUCCCCACCGUGAGGUGAGGAUCAGAGCAACAGAGACGAGUCAGCUUGCCGCCUAGCGGCAGGUUGGGUGAAACGGGCAAUCUCUGCGCGCAGCAACACCAAGUAGGCCAGCGUCGAGGUGGUUCCGCCGAGCUGGCGGGUAGGUGGCAUCGAGCCGUCCGGGUGACCGGCGGCCCAGAGUAAUGGCGGUCACGCCGGGGGCAACCCCGGUGCACAGAAUCCGGCUUACAGGCGCGCUUCACAC